GACGAACGCUGGCGGCGUGCUUAACACAUGCAAGUCGAACGGAAAGGCCCUGCUUGCAGGGUACUCGAGUGGCGAACGGGUGAGUAACACGUGGGUGAUCUGCCCUGCACUUCGGGAUAAGCCUGGGAAACUGGGUCUAAUACCGGAUAGGAGCCAUUUUUAGUGUGAUGGUUGGAAAGUUUUUUCGGUGUAGGAUGAGCUCGCGGCCUAUCAGCUUGUUGGUGGGGUAAUGGCCUACCAAGGCGGCGACGGGUAGCCGGCCUGAGAGGGUGGACGGCCACAUUGGGACUGAGAUACGGCCCAGACUCCUACGGGAGGCAGCAGUGGGGAAUAUUGCACAAUGGGCGCAAGCCUGAUGCAGCGACGCCGCGUGGGGGAUGACGGCCUUCGGGUUGUAAACUCCUUUCGCUAGGGAAGAAGCUUUUUGUGACGGUACCUAGAGAAGAAGCACCGGCUAACUACGUG
This 465-nucleotide ribosomal RNA is filed under the name uncultured bacterium. Its description in RNAcentral is "partial 16S ribosomal RNA". It matches the Rfam family "Bacterial small subunit ribosomal RNA", at positions 28 to 507 of the family's 1533-position model. The record is from RNAcentral.